CAGGACGAACGCUGGCGGCGUGCUUAACACAUGCAAGUCGAACGAAGCUUGAUUACGGAUUCUUCGGAUGAAGUAUGAUAUGACUGAGUGGCGGACGGGUGAGUAACGCGUGAGUAACCUGCCCUUCAGAGGGGGAUAGCGUUUGGAAACGAACGGUAAUACCGCAUAAAGUAUUUUGACCGCAUGAUCGAAAUACCAAAGAUUUAUCGCUGAAGGAUGGACUCGCGUCUGAUUAGGUAGUUGGUGGGGUAACGGCCUACCAAGCCGACGAUCAGUAGCCGGACUGAGAGGUUGAUCGGCCACAUUGGGACUGAGACACGGCCCAGACUCCUACGGGAGGCAGCAGUGGGGAAUAUUGCACAAUGGGCGCAAGCCUGAUGCAGCAACGCCGCGUGAAGGAAGACGGUUUUCGGAUUGUAAACUUCUGUUCUUAGUGAAGAAUAAUGACGGUAGCUAAGGAGCAAGCCACGGCUAAUUACGUGCCAGCAGCCGCGGUAAUACGUAGGUGGCAAGCGUUGUCCGGAAUUACUGGGUGUAAAGGGAGCGCAGGCGGGUGAUCAAGUCAGCUGUGAAAAUUACGGGCUUAACCCGUAGACUGCAGUUGAAACUGUUCAUCUUGAGUGAAGUAGAGGUUGGCGGAAUUCCGAGUGUAGCGGUGAAAUGCGUAGAUAUUCGGAGGAACACCGGUGGCGAAGGCGGCCAACUGGGCUUUAACUGACGCUGAGGCUCGAAAGUGUGGGGAGCAAACAGGAUUAGAUACCCUGGUAGUCCACACUGUAAACGAUGAUUGCUAGGUGUGGGGGGUCUGACCCCUUCCGUGCCGGAGCUAACGCAAUAAGCAAUCCACCCGGGGAGUACGACCGCAAGGUUGAAACUCAA
RNAcentral lists this ribosomal RNA (879 nucleotides) under uncultured bacterium. RNAcentral's name for it is "bacterial SSU rRNA". It matches the Rfam family "Bacterial small subunit ribosomal RNA", at positions 25 to 904 of the family's 1533-position model. The record is from RNAcentral.